RNAcentral lists this ribosomal RNA (660 nucleotides) under uncultured bacterium. Its description in RNAcentral is "bacterial SSU rRNA". It matches the Rfam family "Bacterial small subunit ribosomal RNA", at positions 93 to 740 of the family's 1533-position model. The record is from RNAcentral.
UAGCGGCGAACGGGUGCUUAACACGUGGGCAACCUGCCAUGAAGUGGGGGAUAGCUCGCCGAAAGGCGAAUUAAUACCGCAUGUGAUUAGAGAGGACAUCCUUUCGAAAUUAAAGUCGGGGCAACCUGACGCUUCUUGUGGGGCCCGCGGCCUAUCAGCUAGUUGGUGAGGUAACGGCUCACCAAGGCUUUGACGGGUAGCUGGUCUGAGAGGACGACCAGCCACACUGGGACUGAGACACGGCCCAGACACCUACGGGUGGCAGCAGUCGAGAAUUUUUGACAAUGGGGGAAACCCUGAUCGAGCGACGCCGCGUGGAGGAUGAAGGUCUUCGGAUUGUAAACUCCUGUCAUUGGGGAACAAGGUGCAUACGUUAACUGCGUGUGUAUUGAUAGUACCCGAAGAGGAAGGGACGGCUAACUCUGUGCCAGCAGCCGCGGUAAUACAGAGGUCUCAAGCGUUGUUCGGAUUCAUUGGGCGUAAAGGGUGCGUAGGCGGCGCGGUAAGUCGGGUGUGAAAUCUCGGAGCUUAACUCCGAAACUGCAUUCGAUACUGCCGUGCUUGAGGACUGGAGAGGAGACUGGAAUUUACGGUGUAGCGGUGAAAUGCGUAGAUAUCGUAAGGAAGACCAGUGGCGAAGGCGGGUCUCUGGACAGUUCC